This is a long non-coding RNA of Danaus plexippus (monarch butterfly), 336 nucleotides long. RefSeq lists it as uncharacterized. NCBI's taxonomy places the organism in Eukaryota, Metazoa, Arthropoda, Insecta, Lepidoptera, Nymphalidae. The transcript is spliced from 3 exons. The record is from RefSeq and is a predicted model, not a curated record.
UCAUCGCUCGAGAAAUCUUUUCAUCAAUUGUGACGUCUAAUAAAAUGACGUUGACAUCCGACUAUUGUGAAAACAUGAGUAUUCUUUCAUGCAUUUUACACAAAUAUUUAUAAGCUGUAUUAUGUGCUGUGCUUGCGGCCUUUGCAAAUUACUUUGCAUGCUUAUACCGAUAACAAUAGCAGUUAUUGUGGGCGUGAUUAUAUACUACUCUGUGAAGAAGAUCUCUAAACGCGACUUACCUUAAGCGUUAAACAGUAUUACUGAAAAAUUAUAGAUUAAUACUUAUAUUUUAUAAUGUAUUUGUAUAAAUAAUGUAAUGUACCAAUAAAUUUUAUU